Oncorhynchus keta (chum salmon) is the source of this 1192-nucleotide long non-coding RNA. RefSeq lists it as uncharacterized. NCBI's taxonomy places the organism in Eukaryota, Metazoa, Chordata, Actinopteri, Salmoniformes, Salmonidae. The transcript has 3 exons. The record is from RefSeq and is a predicted model, not a curated record.
ACUGGUUCAGUGUGUGAGGUGGGCCUCUGUCAGGGCAGAGUGUCAGACUGGUUCAGUGUGUGAGGUGGGCCUCUGUCAGGGCAGAGUGUCAGACUGGUUCAGUGUGUGAGGUGGGCCUCUGUCAGGGCAGAGUGUCAGACUGGUUCAGUGUGUGAGGUGGGCCUCUGUCAGGGCAGAGUGUCAGACUGGUUCAGUGUGUGAGGUGGGCCUCUGUCAGGACAGAGUGUCAGACUGGUUCAGUGUGUGAGGUGGGCCUCUGUCAGGGCAGAGUGUCAGACUGGUUCAGUGUGUGAGGUGGGCCUCUGUCAGGGCAGAGUGUCAGACUGGUUCAGUGUGUGAGGUGGGCCUCUGUCAGGACAGAGUAUCAGACUGGUUCAGUGUGUGAGGUGGGCCUCUGUCAGGGCAGAGUAUCAGACUGGUUCAGUGUGUGAGGUGGGCCUCUGUCAGGACAGAGUGUCAGACUGGUUCAGUGUGUGAGGUGGGCCUCUGUCAGGGCAGAGUGUCAGACUGGUUCAGUGUGUGAGGUGGGCCUCUGUCAGGGCAGAGUGUCAGACUGGUUCAGUGUGUGAGGUGGGCCUCUGUCAGGGCAGAGUAUCAGACUGGUUCAGUGUGUGAGGUGGGCCUCUGUCAGGGCAGAGUGUCAGACUGGUUCAGUGUGUGAGGUGGGCCUCUGUCAGGGCAGAGUGUCAGACUGGUUCAGUGUGUGAGGUGGGCCUCUGUCAGGGCAGAGUGUCAGACUGGUUCAGUGUGUGAGGUGGGCCUCUGUCAGGGCAGAGUGUCAGACUGGUUCAGUGUGUGAGGUGGGCCUCUGUCAGGGCAGAGUGUCAGACUGGUUCAGUGUGUGAGGUGGGCCUCUGUCAGGGCAGAGUGUCAGACUGGUUCAGUGUGUGAGGUGGGCCUCCUCUGUUUUCUUCAGUGGAAAUGCAUGAGAGAUUCAGCAGGUGUUUGUGCUGCUGUUUAGGGUUGGGCGGUGUCCGUUCCUGUACCAUCCCGGGGUAUACCUUAGUUAUUUACCUGUUUCUCAUGAUGCUGUGAAGGACAGGAGUGAGUGAGGUGGUUCUUCUGGUCACAUGGGCUAGUGGAGACCAGCUGGAGGCUCCAGCCCAGGCCCUUCCAGGCCCAGGGAGUUCAUGUUUGCCAGUCUGCUGUCCCUGCCAGGGGGCACGCCUCUCACUUCUCUCUCCUCGAUCUC